UACGGAGGGGGCAAGCGUUGUUCGGAAUUACUGGGCGUAAAGGGCGCGCAGGCGGCUGCUCAAGUCAGGCGUGAAAGGCCUGGGCUCAACCCGGGAAUUGCGCUUGAGACUGGGCUGGCUUGAGUGCGGGAGAGGAUGGUGGAAUUCCCGGUGUAGAGGUGAAAAUUCGUAGAUAUCGGGAGGAACACCAGUGGCGAAGGCGGCGAUCUGGGAAGAUACUGACGCUGAGGUGCGAAAGCGUGGGGAGCAAACAGG
RNAcentral lists this ribosomal RNA (255 nucleotides) under uncultured bacterium. RNAcentral describes it as "partial 16S ribosomal RNA". It matches the Rfam family "Bacterial small subunit ribosomal RNA", at positions 524 to 776 of the family's 1533-position model. The record is from RNAcentral.